RNAcentral lists this long non-coding RNA (8494 nucleotides) under Elaeis guineensis (African oil palm). Its description in RNAcentral is "long non-coding RNA (EGUI_LNC039233)". The record is from RNAcentral. Lineage: Eukaryota; Viridiplantae; Streptophyta; Magnoliopsida; Arecales; Arecaceae.
GGCAGCUUUCAACAAGAUCCAGAACUACAACAGAUCAAACACCUUCGUAGUUUAGAAUCUAAAUAAGUAUAGUUUCGAAGCAAGUAUGUGUCCCACCAGGGCCAUUUAUGCUUUUUCCUUUUUGCUAACAGAAGUAGCUGAAAGCUUUCAUCAAGCACGAAGAGCACGUGACAGUCAAACCUCUUAUAACCGUUGCCUGCCAUAUUAUAGCUCAUACAUUCUCAACACUUAUAACCAAAGCAUAAAAAUAACCACAACUGUUCUACCAAAAAAAUAAAAAACCUCACCUGGAUUUCAAGAAGAUGUUGCAACCUGGUAUCAACUAUCAUGGUAACAGCAAAACCCAUACUCCUGUUGGCUGAAGCAUUUUACAUUACAUUAGACAGUUGCUACCGAACCCCUGAUUAUGAGCAUAUAUAUAGAGGCUGAAACUUUUCACAUGCCAUCUGCAAAAUGUGACAGCCGAUUCUUUGGCCAUAGGAGGUUCCCCAUCCCAGCCGGUAACUUCUAUCUCCGCCUGUGUGCAGUGCCCACAAUGCCAUCCUGCAAGAUAGAAAAUUGAUCCCAGUGAAUAGUAUCAUCGGCGUUCCAAGAACAGUCCCCUUACAAUGCAAGUCUUGCCAUGAAAUCAGCUGCUUUAUUUGCUUUGCGGUAGGUAAAGAGCAGAAUAAAAUUGUGGCAGCAGGCUUUCCAUUUGCGGAUGUCAUUUAAUAAUUAAUGGCAUUUUCAAGAGAAGUGCUACCAAUAUAUGGUAUAACGAAUAUGAAAUCACCUUCCAAUCAUACUUCAUUGUCAUUCAGAUCUAUUAUAGCAGUACGCAACUCCAUCCAGGCUGCAACAAAUUCAGUAUAAUGUAACGGCGAGGGCAGCAAAACUUUGUCGCCAGCUCUAAUAAGGUAGUUUUCACUUAUGAAUCCAGCAGCCGUCUUGUCCACUAUCACAGCAGCAUCGAAAUUCCACUUUUAAGUUUUUUAAGAGAGGAUACGAGGAUCUAUGCAGGCAUGUAUUUAGUCUCACAUCGAUUAUUUAGUAAAAAGAUUUAGGAUACUUAUGCAGGGCCAAAGAAUCCAAAUAAUACUUUCUAGCUGGUUCUUUUUAAUGAAAUCCUGAGUUAUUACAGAGGAGGUAGUCAAGAGACACAGAGAGGUCUAAAGUGCUGCCGAUGAGCAACUUACAGCUACCUUGGUUCUUGGACGGAAGCUUAAGAGAGACUAUGUGAUCUGUAGUAUCAUUAUGAAUAAGGUGGACAGAAGUUCUUCUUAAUAUAUGAGCGGGUUCAAUAUUUCAAAAGAUCCUUCCAUUUUGAGAUUUCUAAAUCAACUAAGCAACUAAUGCCAGCAAAAGUUGGUACUCUUCCUCUACCCUAGCAGCAGAUUUGACCGUAAGGAUUUUUUCAAGAUCAUAUGCAGAAGAAUUAGAACAUAAAAUCAUAGAUGUGUAUCUAUAUUCGCCAUUGAUUUUCAAAGUCCGAUCAAUCACAGAUGCUCACACGAACACUGAAAGUCAAAUCUAUCUCCCUAGCUUCCUCUCAACAGGCAGCUAUUCGAUAGGACAAGCCUGAGAACCAGUCUCAUGAUAUUUAUAAGAAGUGGAGAGGGGUCCUAGCUAAAUGUGAAACAAACUCUAACAGGCCCUUCCAUCACGGGCUUAAGUUAGGUUUAGGCCUACAUUAUACCACCCCAACCGCCCCAUCCAACAUAAGGCCUGUAUAGCCCAAAAUAUAUGGAUCACCGACAACAACGGGCUUAUAUGCAUGUCGAUCAAUCCAGAUCAUAUAAUCAGUCCAUUUUAAUAAAAUAAAAUAAAUAAUUAAUGAUAGCCUAUAAUCAGAAAAAUUCUCACAUUCUCCCACUUGGGCAAUGUUAAUUAUAAUUUUAAAAUUUAAAAAAUAUUUUAUUUUGAAAAUGACUCUCGAGCUGAACAAUAGAAAAGACAGUACGUGACCAUGAUUUUUGAAAAACAUAUGAUCCAUGGAUGGUAUCUUGAAAUUGACUUAGUUCAAUAGUGUCAAUCAUGUUGAAUCAUGGGAGUCAUUGCAUCUCUUAUUUGACACAAAAUCUAUCCAUGGUUAUGAACAUUACUAACACUAUCGACAUGGAUCUUAGUGUGGUAGUGUAGCAAGAAAAUGAUAUCCAAAAGUAAUCCAAACACAUGCUAUUUUCAUUGUCAGUCCUCCAAUUUCUCUUCAAUAUACUUAGACAUAUAAUAAGCAAGAGAAAUUUUAAUGACUUCAACAAUAAGCUAUUUUGUCUCACAUACUCAACAUGAUGUUAAUGAUGAGACAGCACAAUAUAUCUGAGACUUGACACUUGGUCUCACAUUUCAUAUAACAGGUACAUAAACAAAAUAUCUCCAAGUAUACUAAAACAAAUAUGUACACAUAAUUAAAAAAAUCAAUAUAAAUAUACCAUCAAUUUAUCAUGUCAACAAUAUAUAUCAAUAUUCAUCAUAAGAGUAUGAGAUGAAAAAUAUCCAUAGCAAUAAAACAUCAAUAGACAUAUAUACAAAGUCACUCCCACUAAUCAAGUAUAUCAAAAGAACUCAAUAUGCCCAUAUUUUCAACAUGCCUUAUAAAGCAUAUGUGCCUCAAACCCUUGGUCAAAGGAUCAGCCAACAUUGGCUCUGUAUCUAUGUGCUAAAUAGUUAUGUCCCCUUUCUUCACAAGAUCUCUUACUGUCAGGUACUUCAGCUCUAAAAAUUUAGAUCCACUGAAAGAUUUAUUAUUUUUUGUAAAGAAUACAACAGCUCUAUUGUCACAAUAGAUUGUCAGUGGUCUGAUUAUAGAAUGAACAAUCUGAAUUCCUGCAAUAAGAUUUUUCAGCCAAAUAGCUUGAGUAGCAGCCCCAUAGCAGGUAAUAAAUUUAGCUUGCAUAGUGAAAGAAACAGUUAGAGUCUGUUUAACACUCCUCCAGGAUACUGUACCUCCAAUCAAUAUAAAAAUAUAUCCUGAAGUUGAUUUAAAAUCAUCAGAAUACCCAACAAGAUCUGAAUUUGAAUAACCCACCAAAUCUAUGUUACCAAAUCUUUUAUACACAAGCAUGUAGUCUUUGAUUUUCUGUAAGUACCUUAUCACUCUCUUUGUAGCAACCCAAUGUUGAAAGCCUGGGUUUGACAGAUAUCUACCAAGAACUCUCAUUAUGAAGGCAACAUCAAGUCUGGUGCAAAUCUGAGCAUACAUCAGACUCUCUAUAGCACUGGCAUAAGGUAUAUUCUUUAUCUGAUCUUUCUCAAGCUCAUUCUUGGGGCACUGAUCUUUACUAAACUUAUCAUCCUUGGCAAUAAGUGUAUCACAUGGUUUGCAAUUUUGCAUAUUAAAUCUUUCAAGAACUCUGUUAAUGUAUGCCUUUUGUGACAAACCCAAUAGAUGACGUGAUCUAUCUCUAUGAAUUUGAAUAUUUAGGACAAAAGAUGCCUCUUCAAGAUCUUUUAUAUCAAAAGUCCUAGAUAGCAUUUGUUUAGUCUCACUAAACAAACCAAAAUCACUACUAGCAAGCAAGAUGUCAUCAACAUAUAAAAUAAGAAAGAUAAUCUUGUUCCCACUGAUUUUGAGAUAGAUGCACUGAUCAACCUUGUUUUUCUCAAAGCCAAGAGUGGUUACCACCUCAUUAAAUUUCAAGUACUAUUGUUGAGAUGUUUAUUUUAAGCCGUAGAUGGACUUCUUCAAUUUGCAGAUUAAAUACUCUCUCCCACUUUCUGAAAAUCCUCAGGCUGUUUCAUAUACACUUCCUCACUGAGAUUAUCAUUUAGGAAAGCAGUUUUAACAUCUAUCUGAUAAAGCUCCAAGUCAUAAAUAGGCUAUUAAAGUCAUGAUGAUUUUGAAGGAAUCCUUUGAGGAUACUGAAGAGAAAGUUUUAGUGUAGUCAAUUUUUUCUCUUUAAGUAAAACCUUUAACAACCAAUUUGGUCUUGAAAUACUCAAUUCUUCAUUUAGAAUCUUUCUUAGUCUCAUACACCCACUUGCACCCAAUAGGUUUACAAUUAUCAAGAGGCUCAACAAGCUUCCAUACUUCAUUGUUGGCCAUAGACUGUAUUUUCUCUUUCAUAGCAUCUUUCCAUAAAUCAGAUUGAGGACAGCUCAUAGCAGCAUGAUAUAUUACUGGAUCAACCACAUAUCCAAUGUUAUAGUCACUUUCCUCAAGAUAGAUAAAGAAAUCAUUAGAAAUAGCAGGUUUUCUCUGUCUAAUAGAUCUUCUUAAUGGCACCUCCUCAAUAGGUUGAACUAGUUGAAGAUUUUUAAUAGAAACAAAAGGAUCAGAGGCUUGAAUAUCCACUCUAUUAAUAGGUGUAGGAAUAAUAUUUUCAUCCGAUGCAGACUUAAGAAUAGAGACAGUCUCAACCUGAUUUCUAUCAAUAUCAACAGUCUGGAAAGAUUCAACAUCAGCCAAAUCCAGUUUUAAAAAUUUUGCAGUCUGUGACUCUAUAAUUUUAUUACCUCUUCUAAGACUAUAGAACCUAUAUCCUUUAGCAUGUUUUAGAUAUCCAAUGAAAUAACAAUGAUUGAUUCUGGGAUUAGUCUUUUUCUCUAUCGGAUUAUAUAUUCUUACUUCUGUAGAAUAACUCCAAAUCUAAAAAUGAUUUAAGCUAGAUUUUCUACCAGUCCAAAGUUUGAAAGGUAUUUUAGGCAUAGAUUUACUAGGAACUCUAUUAAGUUUGUAUAAGAUAAUUUUAAGAGCAUCAUCCCACAGAUAUUCUGGCAAGUUAGAUCUACUCAUCAUGCUCCUCAUUAUAUCUUUAAGGAUGCGAUUAUACUUCUCGGCUACACUAUUCUGCUCAAGAUUACCAGUUAUGGUGUAUUGAGCAAUAAUUCUACAAUCCUAUAAGUACUUAACAAACGGACCCAUAUGCUAUCUUGCUAUAUCAUAUUUGCCAUAAUACUCACCCCCACGAUCAGAUCUCACAAUCUUGAUGAUCUUUUUCAAUUAUUUUCAACUUUAAUUUUAAAAAUUUUAAAAUUUUCAAGAGCAUCUGAUUUUUCUUUAAUUAAAUAAAGAUAACCAUAUUGGAAAAAAUUAUCAAUAAAUGUUAUGAAGUAUUUAUUACCACAAAUUGUAGAGGAAUAUGGCCCACUAAUGUCAGUAUAUAUUAUUUCUAAAAGACUUGAACUACGAAUUGCCCUUUCUUUUUAGUCUUAGUUAGUUUACCUCUAAUACAAUCAAUGCAAGUCUCUAUGUCUUCAAAAUCUAAGAUGAGUAGAAUGUUAUCCUUUAUCAAUUUGUCAAUUCUUUUCUUAGAUAUAUGUCCUAAGUGCUUGUACCACAACAUAGAGGAUCUAUCUUUAAUUCUAAAAUACUUUACAACUACAUUCUUAAUAUUUAAAGAAAUAUAGGAAUUAUCACAAGCUAAACAUAAUCUAUAUAAUCCAUCAUUUUCAAAAUACCAUAACCAACAAUCUGAGAGUUAAACAUCAAAUUAAAUUUUUCGUUAUGAAAAUUAAAAUCAAAUCCAAGCUUAUCUAAAGAGAAAACAAAAAUCAAAUUUUUUCUAAAAAUAGGUACAUAAAAGGUGUUUUUCAAAAAAAUCUCAAAACCAGACUCUAAAGACAACUUGAUAACUCCUAUAUAUUUAACUUCAACCUCAAGAUCAUUUCUUACUUUUAAUCUGACUUCCUUCAAACUUGAUUUUCAUUUGCUUAUGAACCCUUACAAAGAAAUUACAACAUCAGUUGUGGCACCACUAUCAAUCCAUCAGGAAUCAACAGGGAUAUUGACUAUAUUUAACUCAUAAUAAAUAAGGGCUAGGGGUUUAUCUUUUUGUUUUUCUUUCUUUUCUAUCCAAGACUUGAACUUAUAGCACUGACUCCUUAUAUGGCCUUUCUUCUUAUAGUGAAAACGCUUGACAUUUUUUCCUAUGACAGUUUUGGGGCCUCCUAUAGAAUGAUUUUGAUCGGGGUUGUUACCACGUCCUUUUGUACCUUGAGACUGUUUAGAAAUAGCAGGUUUAUACUUUUUUUGAUUUACAGAAUCUUUGCCAAAAUGGAGUUUGGAUUGGAUGGAAAGAAGGGCACUCUCACUCUUUUCUUUCUUAAGUUUUUCUUUUUUGGCAACACAUUUGGUGAUCAAAUCAUUAACACUCCAAGUUUCAUUCAAGUAUUAUAAGUAGUUUUGAUUUGAGAGAACUUAACAGGUAAUGAAUUCAAAGCAUGAGAUACAAGAAAAGAAUCAGACAGAUUAAUUUUGAGACCCUUAAGCUUGGUUUGGAGAUGAACUAUUUUCAGAAUAUAUUUCCUCACACCCCAACAUUAUCAUAACUUAUGAUCAUCAGUUCUCUCAUUAGGCAUCCAAACUCAGUAUUUUCAGACAUAAGGUAUCUCUGUCCUAUGGCUUCAAACAACUCUUUAGCAUUACUAGUCUCGGUAGGUCACUCAGAAGAUGCUCAAAAAUAGACCUCUUAAUAGCUAUCAAGCUAAGUCUGUUAGACUUUUCCUAUUUGACAAAAUAAUCUUUUUGUUCAGAUAUACUUUAAUCAUUGAGAUCAUUAGGUUUAUUCUCACAUAACGUCAGAUCAAUAUCAGCAAUCCCAAGAGCAAAUUCCAUAUCUUGCUUCCACCUCUUAUAAUUUGACCUAAUCAAGACCUCAACGAUAACAUUAUUAUUCUUCACACUGAAUAAGAUUGUACAAUCAAAUAGGAGAAUGCAAAACAUUAGUCAAUAGGCACAUGAAUAAAUAAUAUAAGCAAUAAACAAGAGCCCAAACAUAAUAUCACAAAUUCUCCUUUGGGCAAAAUAUGCAAUAUGCAUGGGUGCUCUUCACAUGAAGCCACAAGAAAAAAUAUCCUAGGAUUCAGAAGCCUAUCUCCUUUGAGCAGAUAGACCCCAAAAAUUAGAGCACCCUCACAACACAAUGCUCCAUGCAAUUUUUAGUUAAAACACACAAUAGCCCCAUUUGGGCAAGUGAUUGUAUGCUAUAACUUAAAAAUAUCCCUCUCAUGAUGAAAAAUUCUAUGAACUGACAUAAAUAAACCACUUCGAUGAUAAAUAUUUAUGCCAAUCUAUAAAAUUAUCCAUGCAGAAAAAUAAAACCAAAAUAAAUAUAAUUUGGCAUACAUUAACCACAUGUAUGCCUAUAAAUGAUCAAGUCCAGAAUGGGAUACAGAACAAUAUGUACCCCACUAAUCAUAUUACAAUAUAAUAUUACAUUCCAAAGUCACAGUAACAAAUUUGUACAGCUCAAAUAAGUAAUUUAGGUUUUAACCUAUUUAACUUCCUAAAAAAAAUUGAAAGUAUAUAAAAUAUACAUAAAAUCAAUAAAAGUAUAUAGUACUAGAUGGUCUAUCACAUGCCACAAUAAUUUUCUAAACUAUUAUACCUCAAAAAAUAUUUCAGAAAAUGGCAUAUUACAUCACAUAAUUAAAGAAAUAUCAAAAAAAUUAAUUUCUAAGGACUAUCAUCAAAAAUUAACCUUGUUAAGGAUUAAAUUGAAGUUUUGAAGAACUAGUUUAAAAUUAAAAGCUUCAAGAGGGGCUAAAUAGUAAUACAAAAAAAUUUAUAUAAUAAAUUCUACAAUAGGGACUAAAUUGUAAAAGUGCCAUAAAACAUAAUAUCAGUAAAUCGAGUUUGAAUUUUGGGUUAAACCCAAAAUUCGAAACCCAUUAAGAAAGGAAGUUUUGUUCCUCAUGAUUGGGUGGCUGAAGGAGGGCCAAGCCGAUGCCUCUUCCACCCCCAAGUCUGACCGGCGACUACCAUAAAUAGGCCAAUCGGAGGCCAUCACCACUUAAGGAGAAAUUGCUGGCCAACAGAGAUCCAGUGGCCCCAAUUCUCCCCCCCCUCUUUUUUUGUUUAAAUCCCCUUGAAGCCCGACGCCACCAAGUUCGCCAUCAGUUACCAUAGGCAGUGGCAUCUCGGAUGACUGUCCAUGGAAAGGAAGGAGGGGUCAACAUGCCAAUCACCUCAGGCAGCGUCGUGCCGGACGAGAAAGGUGGGUGAUGAUAGGGAAGGACCGCCCACCUUAUUUAUUUAUUUAUUUAUUUGGGAUCUUGAUUGGAAACACCUGCCUGACACCACCAGCUGUUCCCGAUCGCCGUCGGAGCAGGAUCCCAUUGAAGAGAGAUUCGAUCGGUGAGAAGAAAUGAAGAAGAAGGGCACGGUAAGAUCCAUCCCUUCUCUUCUAGGGUUUUGAUAUUUGUUUGAUCCGAUCCUUAAAUCCGAUCAUAAACCAUCAUCCCCCUUAAUGUCGGCUCACGAGGUGGUCGUCGGACCUUCAUUUGGCCAAAAAGAGGUCCGACCGAUAAUAAGAACGAGAGGAGAGGGCACGGUCUAAGGAGAUAUGCCCCCCUUUCUUUUUAACAAUUUUUUUUGAUUCUAAUCCUCUACAAAAUCUGUGCUUUGAUACCAAUUGUAAGGAUUUCUCCAAAAUCAUAUGCAGAAGAUUAGAAUACAAAAUCAUAGAUGUGUACCUGUGUUCGUCAUUAAUUUUCAAAGCCCGAUCAAUCAUGGAUGCUCUUACGAACACCGAAGGCUAAAUUCUUCUCCCCAGCUUCCUCUCAACAGAUGGCUAUU